CCUACGGGUGGCAGCAGUGAGGAAUAUUGGUCAAUGGCCGGAAGGCUGAACCAGCCAAGCCGCGUGAAGGACGAAGGUGCCAAGCAUUGUAAACUUCUUUUGUCAAGGGACAAAAUCAGGCUCGAGAGCCUGACCGAGGGUACUUGAAGAAAAAGCAUCGGCUAACUCCGUGCCAGCCGCCGCGGUAAUACGGAGGAUGCGAGCGUUAUCCGGAUUUAUUGGGUUUAAAGGGUGCGUAUGCGGACUGUUAAGUCAGCGGUAAAAGCCCGGGGCUCAACCCCGGCGAGCCGUUGAAACUGGCGGUCUUGAGAUGUGGAGAGGUAUGCGGAAUGGGCAGGGUAGCGGGGGAAUGCUUAGAUAUUGCGCAGAACUCCGAUUGGGAAGGCAGCAGAACGGCGGCGAUCUGACGCUGAGGGACGAAAGCGUGGGGAUCGAACAGGAUUAGAUACCCCGGGUAGUC
RNAcentral lists this ribosomal RNA (460 nucleotides) under uncultured bacterium. Its description in RNAcentral is "partial 16S ribosomal RNA". It matches the Rfam family "Bacterial small subunit ribosomal RNA", at positions 338 to 795 of the family's 1533-position model. The record is from RNAcentral.